UGGGGAAUAUUGGACAAUGGGGGAAACCCUGAUCCAGCAACGCCGCGUGGGUGAUGAAGGCCUUCGGGUCGUAAAGCCCUGUUGAGGGGGAAGAAGUCAUGAAGUAACGAUUCAUGGUUGACGUUACCCCUUGAGGAAGCACCGGCUAACUCUGUGCCAGCAGCCGCGGUAAUACAGAGGGUGCAAGUGUUGUUCGGAAUUAUUGGGCGUAAAGGGUGCGUAGGCGGUUUGGUCAGUCAGUUGUGAAAGCCCUGGGCUUAACCCAGGAAUUGCAUCUGAUACUACCAAGCUAGAGUGCGAAAGAGGAGAGCGGAAUUCCCGGUGUAGAGGUGAAAUUCGUAGAUAUCGGGAGGAACACCAGUGGCGAAAGCGGCUCUCUGGGUCGACACUGACGCUCAGUGCACGAGAGCGUGGGGAGCAAACAGG
This 426-nucleotide ribosomal RNA is filed under the name uncultured bacterium. RNAcentral's name for it is "bacterial SSU rRNA". It matches the Rfam family "Bacterial small subunit ribosomal RNA", at positions 355 to 776 of the family's 1533-position model. The record is from RNAcentral.